UACGUAGGGACCGAGCGUUGUCCGGAAUCAUUGGGCGUAAAGAGCGUGUAGGCGGCUUGCUAAGUCUUGCGUGAAAUCUCGGGGCUCAACCCCGAGCGGUCGUGGGAAACUGGCAGGCUAGAGUGCGGGAGAGGAGAAUGGAAUUCCUGGUGUAGCGGUGAAAUGCGCAGAUAUCAGGAAGAACACCCGUGGCGAAGGCGGUUCUCUGGGCAACAACUGACGCUGAGGAGCGAAAGCGUGGGGAGCGAACAGG
This 253-nucleotide ribosomal RNA is filed under the name uncultured bacterium. Its description in RNAcentral is "partial 16S ribosomal RNA". It matches the Rfam family "Bacterial small subunit ribosomal RNA", at positions 524 to 776 of the family's 1533-position model. The record is from RNAcentral.